AGUAAUGAAGUAAUAAUUACAUUUAGUUUCGACCUAAAAUUAGAGUUUACACUCCUUACUU
This 61-nucleotide transfer RNA is filed under the name Dicranocephalus femoralis. RNAcentral's name for it is "tRNA-Arg". The record is from RNAcentral. Lineage: Eukaryota; Metazoa; Arthropoda; Insecta; Hemiptera; Stenocephalidae.